Molecule: long non-coding RNA, 854 nt
Organism: Nematostella vectensis (starlet sea anemone)
Lineage: Eukaryota; Metazoa; Cnidaria; Anthozoa; Actiniaria; Edwardsiidae
Exons: 4
Source: RefSeq, a predicted model, not a curated record
AGGAACAAUUUGGUUGGGAGACAGAACGCCAUUAAGAGGGUCUUUGUCUCAAAGGAAAUUAAAAGAGGUUUUAGUAGGACCAAGUCUAUAUAGCAACUUCUUCAAUAAUCAUAACUGAUUUAUAUUCUUCGUAGCUUCGAUAAACACUGCUACACAAGGAAUUUACGAUUUUCCAUGAUCAUGAUGCAGAAGUCCGUGGCAAUUUUUGCUUUAGUGACUUUGAUGAGUCUGUUGUUAUCCGUAAGCGGUCACAUGUGUAUAGGGAAGCGUGCGGCGGGGCAGGACUCUCAAGACAAGGAUGAGACCAACUUGCUGUCCAGGGAAAUGUCCAAUGGAUUGGUAAACAGGCUGGAAACUCUUCAAGACAUCCGGGCAUUUUUGCGUCAUCGGAAGACGCUCUCAGACGACAGCCAGUGCUGAGCGGUGCCUCUUGAAUCGUAUCAGAGUACAACUUUGAAGUAGCUACCUUCUCCUGUGCUACUUUAUUUACGAUAUACAAAUGAACAACAUUAAUUCAGAGUUUUGUUUAUAGUAAUUGUUGUUAUCGUAACAGGAAUGUAAUUGGUAGUCCAAGUAGAACAAAAUAAUAGAAAGCUUUCUUACGCAAUUUUCACCUUUCUUGAUAAAAGAAGGCAAUGUCAUCAAUGCUUGUCAAAAGAGCAUAAAUGAAACGUAUUAAAACUGAAGAGACUUUCUCUGUUGCUGUCCUUCAGUCAAAGACUACGAAGGGAAUAAAAAAUAUACUAUUAUUACCAUUAUUCUAUGUCAAGCCACAAGACUUCAGUUGUUAUUCCCUUGCAUUACUUUAACUGCCCUCUCUGAUUUUUGUUCUAUAUAAAAGUCGAAAUUAUUUA